CAGCACCUCAAGUGGUCAGGAUGAUUAUUUGGCCUAAAGCGUCCGUAGCCGGCCGGGUAAGUUUCCCGUUAAAUCCAGCGUCUCAAGCGUUGGACUGCGGGAAAUACUGCCUGGCUAGAGAGUGGGAGAGGUCAGCGGUAUUCUGGGGGUAGGGGCGAAAUCCUUUGAUCCCCGGAGGACCACCAGUGGCGAAGGCUGCUGACUAGAACACGUCUGACGGUCAGGGACGAAAGCUGGGGUAGCGAACCGGAUUAGAUACCCGAGUAGUCC
This 270-nucleotide ribosomal RNA is filed under the name uncultured archaeon. RNAcentral's name for it is "partial 16S ribosomal RNA". It matches the Rfam family "Archaeal small subunit ribosomal RNA", at positions 477 to 747 of the family's 1478-position model. The record is from RNAcentral.